Molecule: ribosomal RNA, 370 nt
Filed under: uncultured bacterium
Lineage: Bacteria
Description: bacterial SSU rRNA
Rfam family: Bacterial small subunit ribosomal RNA
Source: RNAcentral
UACGUAGGUGGCAAGCGUUAUCCGGAAUUAUUGGGCGUAAAGGGAGCGUAGGCGGUUUAUUAAGUUUAUGGUGAAAGUUCGGGGCUUAACCCCGUGAUGCCAUAGAAACUGGUAGACUUGAGUACAGGAGAGGUGAGUGGAAUUCCAUGUGUAGCGGUAAAAUGCGUAGAUAUAUGGAGGAACACCAGUGGCGAAGGCGGCUCACUGGCCUGUAACUGACGCUGAGGCUCGAAAGCGUGGGGAGCAAAUAGGAUUAGAUACCCUAGUAGUCCACGCCGUAAACGAUGAAUACUAAGUGUUGGGUAGAAAACUCAGUGCUGCAGCUAACGCAAUAAGUAUUCCGCCUGGGGAGUAUGCGCGCAAGCGUAAA